GGAAUUUUGCGCAAUGGGCGCAAGCCUGACGCAGCAACGCCGCGUGGAGGAAGAAGGCCCUCGGGUCGUAAACUCCUGUCCUUGGGGAAGAUGGUGACGGUACCCUUGGAGGAAGCCCCGGCUAACUCCGUGCCAGCAGCCGCGGUAAUACGGAGGGUGCAAGCGUUAAUCGGAAUUACUGGGCGUAAAGCGCACAUAGGCGGUAUGUUAAGUUGGAUGUGAAAGCCCCGGGCUCAACCUGGGAAUUGCAUUCAAAACCGGCCUGCUAGAGUAUGUGAGAGGGGGGUAGAAUUCCAAGUGUAGCGGUGAAAUGCGUAGAGAUUUGGAGGAAUACCAGUGGCGAAGGCGGCCCCCUGGCACAAUACUGACGCUCAGGUGCGAAAGCGUGGGGAGCAAAC
RNAcentral lists this ribosomal RNA (398 nucleotides) under uncultured bacterium. RNAcentral describes it as "bacterial SSU rRNA". It matches the Rfam family "Bacterial small subunit ribosomal RNA", at positions 358 to 773 of the family's 1533-position model. The record is from RNAcentral.